UACGUAGGGGGCUAGCGUUGUUCGGAAUUACUGGGCGUAAAGCGCGCGUAGGCGGCUUUGUAAGUUAGAGGUGAAAGCCCGGAGCUCAACUCCGGAACUGCCUUUAAGACUGCAUCGCUAGAAUCAUGGAGAGGUGAGUGGAAUUCCGAGUGUAGAGGUGAAAUUCGUAGAUAUUCGGAAGAACACCAGUGGCGAAGGCGACUCACUGGACAUGUAUUGACGCUGAGGUGCGAAAGCGUGGGGAGCAAACAGG
RNAcentral lists this ribosomal RNA (253 nucleotides) under uncultured bacterium. RNAcentral describes it as "partial 16S ribosomal RNA". It matches the Rfam family "Bacterial small subunit ribosomal RNA", at positions 524 to 776 of the family's 1533-position model. The record is from RNAcentral.